CAUGUUUUUGCGUAUUUAGCUCGGGGUGUUUUUUGCAUAUUAGGCCGAGGCCUUACAGUAUGACACGAGUGCAUUUUAUAGAAAAAGAAUGACAGAAAAAGGGGGCUGGAAAAGAAGAAGACAAUCUGGGUAAAACAACGCACCUAUUACAAGAAUUGCUUCCUAUGACGUGAAAUAUGAUGAGACAAAAACAAGGAGGGUCUCUGGCAGCAUCUGUUCAUUCAGGAAUAAGAAGCAACUCGGAAAAUAUAUCUGCAUGGAGGCUGACGAGGUGCAGGAAUGUGAAGAAGCAGUCAUGAUUCAUUCCAGAGCGUGCAUUGAUUACACGCCAAAUGAACAUACGUUGCAUGCUAAUUUCCUUCCCGGGUCCUCGAGAGCAAACACCACUGUGAGAGUACGCAGUGUAAACACCUCCAUAGCAAUAACACGUCGGUGCUGAGCCACCUGAGGUCCAUCACACUGCAGAAAAAGUAGAACUGCAUGUGACAAGCCGUGACAUUCAACUCCACUGGGACUUCCCUCUUGAGCCUUCCUCCGCACUCGAAUGCCAACAAAAUCCCCUCCACAACAUUCAAUUUGAAAUUUA
This is a long non-coding RNA of Gasterosteus aculeatus aculeatus (three-spined stickleback), 586 nucleotides long. NCBI's taxonomy places the organism in Eukaryota, Metazoa, Chordata, Actinopteri, Perciformes, Gasterosteidae. The record is from Ensembl.